AAGCAGAGCCAGUGUGUUUGAGGCGUUUGGAACAGCUUAAUGAAGCUGGGUUCGGUGAAAUGAAAUUUUUGAAAUUUAAAAAAGGGUUUCGUUUGUCUAUUGUUUGUCCACGUUUUUUCACUUUUCCAGCUUUUCCUUGAAAUAAAUUAAAAAAACAAAUUAAAAUUGGCAUAUUUUUAAAUUUUUAAGUUUUUUUGAGUGAACAAACGAUAGACAAAAGAUUCCAUGAAACAAAUUUUGAAAAAUUAAACUUUUUGAUUUUCGAAAUUUGAUAUUUUUGAAACCAGACGUGGACAAAAAAACUAAAUGGUGGAUAAGUAUAUCCUAGUUUAAAAAGCUUGAAAACGCAGCGUUUAAUUUGUAUUUAUUUCAAUAGAAGUUAGCAAGGAUCUGCCGUCUUGAAUUUAUACUACGAUAUAGAACGCGAAAAGGAUCGUGUUACCCAAAAUACUUUAGCUGAGGCUCGACAUGUGGGAGAUUCACCAAAGUCAUGGUUGACUUUCUAACGUAACAAGUAACAAAAUCGUUGUGGACGGCAGUCAACGUAGUGACGAAACCCAUCAGGAGAGUGUCCGAAUGCGACUACCAUAUAUACACGAAGAAAUGAAAGUCUCCUGUGAUCUUCCGAUUGUUACGAGUCAUGCCUUAAUCGAAUGGUGUUGCAAGUACUAAUUGCGUGCCAAGACUUUUGUUUGGGAGAAUAAGCAAUAAAAGUGCAAAAGUGAAAAUGUUCAAAA
Drosophila biarmipes is the source of this 737-nucleotide long non-coding RNA. RefSeq lists it as uncharacterized. The transcript has 2 exons. Lineage: Eukaryota; Metazoa; Arthropoda; Insecta; Diptera; Drosophilidae. The record is from RefSeq and is a predicted model, not a curated record.